UGCGCAGGCGGACCUAUUAGUCAGUGGUGAAAUCCCGGGGCUCAACUCCGGAGCUGCCAUUGAUACUGUAGGUCUUGAGUUUGGUUGAAGUGGGCGGAAUGUAGCAUGUAGCGGUGAAAUGCAUAGAUAUGCUACAGAACACCGAUCGCGAAGGCAGCUCACUAAACCAAAACUGACGCUCAGGCACGAAAGCGUGGGUAGCGAACAGGAUUAGAUACCCUGGUAGUCC
Molecule: ribosomal RNA, 229 nt
Filed under: uncultured bacterium
Lineage: Bacteria
Description: partial 16S ribosomal RNA
Rfam family: Bacterial small subunit ribosomal RNA
Source: RNAcentral